UUAGUAGUAAUAGAGAGGGCUGAUGUGUAUCCAUGGACCCUUUGUUGUUGUAAGUUUGAUAAAAAUUAUGAUGUCCUCAAGAUCUUAUUUUCUGACCUACGCCCAGACCCUCAUCUUUGUGUUAUAGCCCCAAAAUGGUUGAUCAUGCAUUGCAGGAAUAUUCUAGUAGGAGUGAUAUAUUUUGUGUGCCAGAUCUAAGCUUCCUACACAUGUUGAUGGAAGCAAUGCAUGAUCCGUUAAAGGGCAAAGUCUUCCAAAUUCUUCUGCCUCAACUCAUGCUUCAGUUUUUGUAAAGGUAUGCGAUAUUUCACAUUAACUAAACACUUAAGUUCUGAACUUAUUUAAGAUAAUAUCAGUUCAUUUUAGUUGAACACAUGAUAAGUUUGUUGAUAUAUGUUAUAUUAGGUACUGGCAACUUUCUUAUUUUUAACACUGUUAAAAUUUUUAUGUUGGAGUAGUGUUUUUCUUCAUUUCUUGUCAUCUAUGUGAAUUUUUUAUUUAGACUAAACCUGAUUUUAGGAGCUUGUAUGUUGUCUAUAUUAAGAAAUAUUUUACCUUGAAUAGGUCAUUUAGAGAAAGAUAUGUAUUCUAAUUUGCCUUAUUCCUCCAUAACAAGAUUUGCUAGAUAAUCUGCAAAUGAAAUUUCCUCUUUGUAUAUGUGUUGCACCUGGAUUUUGAAACCUCUAUGAAAUUUCUUGUAUUUUUCUACUAUUGUACUAAUGUGCAAGGGUGUGGUCCACCUAUCUUCUCUUACAUUUUUUUCAUCAAAAGAGAGUCAUUCUUAAUUAUGAAAUUAGUAAAUUCUUGUACAACAUAGUAGGAUAGAGCUUCUCUAAUUGCAGUUUCCUCUACCUCAGCGUUUGGUAUGUCUGGGAAAACUUUAGCUUGAGCAAAUAUUAGGUCUCCAGUAUGUCUUCCAACACAUAUUUCAUAGGAGCUCUUAGAAGGAUUUCUCCAACUAGCACCAGCAAUAUUGCUUUAGUGAUGAUUCUCUCAGUUACUAUGAUGAAAUAUUUUGCAUUCUAGAAUAAUUGGUUUUAACCAACUGCCAUAUGUUGGUAUUUACAUGAUGUACUAGUCUACAAAAGUUGAUUCUUCCAUCAUGAUUCAUCUUGUUCCUCUUUUUCCAAAGCUCUCAUAGGAUGGUUAACCAUGACUAGUUUCGAGUGUCAAUUAUUUUCUAACAUUUAAUUUUCUUUUGAACGUGUAGAAAAAUAUAGGAGAUCAAAUUUGAAUAAUGGCCCGAGGUCAACUCAAUAUGUUGGAGCGAACGAUAUAGUGUAUUUGAACUAUUAUUAUAUAUGUUUGAAUACAUUGUGAAAUUUAUUGCUAGUACCCCUCUUUAAGAUAUUCCUUUCAAAGUAUGUAGUACAAGAC
RNAcentral lists this long non-coding RNA (1377 nucleotides) under Solanum tuberosum (potato). RNAcentral describes it as "long non-coding RNA (STUB_LNC002528)". Lineage: Eukaryota; Viridiplantae; Streptophyta; Magnoliopsida; Solanales; Solanaceae. The record is from RNAcentral.